This 462-nucleotide long non-coding RNA is filed under the name Olea europaea subsp. europaea. The record is from RNAcentral. Lineage: Eukaryota; Viridiplantae; Streptophyta; Magnoliopsida; Lamiales; Oleaceae.
CCCCAAGGUCAUAUGUAUAAAUAAAUUAAACAAAAAGACGUAUAAUUCACGACCAAAUGUAUGCUCCUCUGCAAUUAUUCCAAUCCACAUACCAGAAAACAGAACAUAAUGUGGUAACAAAUAGCUAAAAUAAAGAAUAAGAGGAAGAUUAUACAUUGCUCUUGAUAAUAUUCUGGCGGGCAAGAAACGUUGCGACCGGAGGUGUAAGGGCAAAAGUCAUAAGAACCCUAACUGGAAACAGAGCCUUAUUCAGCAGAACCGCCAGCGCCUAAGCCCCACCGCUAGAAGCCACCAGGUCAGCAGUCCAAUUUCUCUCCUUCUUCACAUCAUUCAUUACCGGUUGUUCCAUUAUGAACCCGUCGGAUUUGGAACCAGUAUCAAUAGUUGAAAUUUCAGAUAAGGGCAGUUCAGGGAUUUCGCCUUCUUUCCGAGGCCGGACAUGCUCUUUUAUUCAAAAAUUGA